Molecule: ribosomal RNA, 490 nt
Filed under: uncultured bacterium
Lineage: Bacteria
Description: partial 16S ribosomal RNA
Rfam family: Bacterial small subunit ribosomal RNA
Source: RNAcentral
AUUGAACGCUGGCGGCAGGCCUAACACAUGCAAGUCGAACGGUAACAGGAAACAGCUUGCUGUUUCGCUGACGAGUGGCGGACGGGUGAGUAAUGUCUGGGAAACUGCCUGAUGGAGGGGGAUAACUACUGGAAACGGUAGCUAAUACCGCAUAACGUCGCAAGACCAAAGAGGGGGACCUUCGGGCCUCUUGCCAUCGGAUGUGCCCAGAUGGGAUUAGCUAAUAGGUGGGGUAACGGCUCACCUAGGCGACGAUCCCUAGCUGGUCUGAGAGGAUGACCAGCCACACUGGAACUGAGACACGGUCCAGACUCCUACGGGAGGCAGCAGUGGGGAAUAUUGCACAAUGGGCGCAAGCCUGAUGCAGCCAUGCCGCGUGUAUGAAGAAGGCCUUCGGGUUGUAAAGUACUUUCAGCGGGGAGGAAGGGAGUAAAGUUAAUACCUUUGCUCAUUGACGUUACCCGCAGAAGAAGCACCGGCUAACUCCGUG